CAACUUAAAACAAAAACAUUAACAUCAUGAACUUCAUUUCACUGUUAUAAAUACCUCACCAUCUUGAUCAUCAAUUAGCUCUAAUAAGUCCUGUACAUCCUGAGAUUCCUCUCUCCAUCCUAAACGAAUAGACCAUUGUAAUCGAUGCAAAUUGGGAAGCUUCCCAUCGACCAAAGCGCCCACCAGAUCAUCAGCUUUGAUCAGGCUGAUGUUGGUCAAUAAGCUCCCUGAAUAAGUAAUUUCUAAGCUUCGAACAUUAUGCCCUGACUCAGGAAUGCUCUCAAAGGCGGUAGAGGUAAUGUAAUUAGCAGGAAUGCUAAUAGUUGUAGCGUUGGGACAUAACUGAAAAAUGCAAUCUAAGCCGCUCCGAGACAAUUCGGGCAUUGGGUAUUGCACACAGACUGAAGACAAAUUAGGUCCUAUUUUUGAAAGCAAAGAGAAAAUGCCUGCAUCGGUCAAUAGCGGACAUUGUGUGAUGUUUAUACUUUUUAAAGAUGGGGGAAAAACAGACUCAGCCAAAAAGUCAUCAGUAAGGCCACCAGAAAAGCCCACAAAGGUAAGAGAGCUUGGCCAGCAUUCAGUACACAUAGGAGCAGGAAUUGAAAGAUAGGGUAAUAUGAUAUACUCAAGAUGCUUGAGAUG
Molecule: non-coding RNA, 642 nt
Organism: Schizosaccharomyces pombe (fission yeast)
Lineage: Eukaryota; Fungi; Ascomycota; Schizosaccharomycetes; Schizosaccharomycetales; Schizosaccharomycetaceae
Source: the annotation of a GenBank genome assembly